CUUCCUGAUGUCACCCGGCUCCAGCUGGAGAUAAGCGCAGCUGAUAAACCGCGUGGGCGGUUUUCUCUGGUGCGCCUCCUCACUACCCUGGACUCCUGCAGCAGGGAUGAUCACAAAAGUGGGAGGAAAGAUAUUCACUUCUGGUGGGAAAGAAGUUGAUAUUGCAACCACAUUAGAAGUGUAUGAACAAGCUGGUGGCUCCAUUGCAGCUCCUGGAAUGAAGAGGACUGCUACUCUGAGUAUUGUGAAAUGAUUUGAAAGCUCUGCUUACCUGGGCAUAAAAGGAAGUCAGUUUCCAGGUAUUUCAGGGCAAAUGUUCUUUAUCAAGAAGACAGAACGGGAGGAGAACACAGAAGUGAACUCACUCACUGAAGGUCACAGAGCUUGUCACUGUCAGAACAAGAAAUAGAACCUGGGAUGAAAUCCAAUCCCUUUGGACAUUAAGGGUGCGUCCAGACAAGCACACACAUGCCUCUUUCCCCAUCUCAAACCCCUUUGAGAUGGGGAAAGAGGCACAUGUGGGAAUGAAAAAAUGUUCCCUGCACUGCAAACUUGCAGUGCAGGGAGAAAAUUAGACCCCGGGGGGGGGGGUCUGCCAGGAGACCCCAGAGCACCCCGCAACCCCUGCUUCUAGGCAGGGUCCACGGCACAGCUGGAGCGAGGGAGGAAAUCUGUGCGGGUCAUAAGCCACACCUUUAUCCAGCUGAAACCAGCCAGUGACAUCAUCAGCAAUCACCGGCCAGUGGAGGUAAAAAGGAUCAUGAGGGAAGAUGGGAGGAGGAGAAGUCAGAGAGAACUCUCAAGCCGGGUGACAUGAGGGAUACUCCUGGAGUGAGAGAGCCAGCAGGGGCUCUCUGUGCCAGCAGAGAUCGGCAUGACAAGGAGGCAGAGGAGCCAGAGGAGGCUCUCUGUACUGGCAGAGGUGGGAGCAUCAGAGGAACAAGACAGCCAGAGGCAGGAGCAUCAGACGAAUGGGAGAAGCAGAGGAGGAUCUCUGCACCAACAAAUGUUGGAGCAUCAGGGGGACGAGAGAGCCAGAGGAGGCUCUCCCUCCUGGCAGGAAUGGCUGUGAGCAGCAAAAGAGGCUGUGGAACAGAACGGCAAGAGGCAGGGCACUGACAUCUAGUAUAGAAGGUGGCCAGCCACUUGAGAAAGUACCACAGGAUGUCGGUAGUGGAACGCCUCCAACAGCAUCUGAGGAGGGUAGUGGGAGAAAUGACCCGGGACGAGGGUCUGUGACCAACCCUGGCCAGACGAUGGGUCAGCCCCAGUGAGAUUCUAGGGGUGAAGUGAUGCCCUGAUAUCCUAGCAAUAGGGCUGGGGGGAGGAAACCGGAUGGGUCCUUCCCAGCUUUUAGUUUGUUUUGGCUCCUUUUUGUUUUCCCCCUUUUGGAGGGGCUGAGAGAUAGGGUGACGCGGCACAGGCAAGACAACUCUACACUGCCUUUCUUUUCCUUUUCUUUGAUUGAUGGUUAAAUUUAGAUUCCCAGGCCUGAUACUGCUUUAGGGCAAGCGGAGGGUCUGCUGAAGUCAGAUGGCUAAAUGAUUUGAGUUAUCCCAGGAGGAAGUACUUAAGGCGUAAUAAGGCUAUGAAGAUCAUCAAGCUCAAGAAACACAACAUCACUGGGGUGCGGCUGAAAAGAUCUGGUGACCCGCUGAAAGGUUGGGGUGUAGAGAAGGUGGAGUCCCACGGAUGGCCACCUGGUGGACUCCCUGCUGAAAAGGACACCUGUGUGAUUUGCCCCCCCACUGGAAUAACAUUCAAAGUCAUGGCAGGUGAGUCUGGGGGAGGCCACCUGGGUGAUAACCAUUUACCACCAGGCUUACAGGAAACUGCAGGAUGUUCACUGCCGGCCAGCCGGAACAAAACUGCACGCGACCGAGUGUCUGAAGCCAGGUGGGCACAGGGAGCCGUAGCCCCUGUUUGGGGGCUAUAGCCCCUGUUGGGGGGCCAUAGCCCUUGUAUGGGAGCCAGAGUGACUUUGGGAUUUUUUUUAAUCAGGGAUUUUUCAGUUUUCCAAUAGGGAACAACAGAAUUCCUG
Molecule: long non-coding RNA, 2041 nt
Organism: Alligator sinensis (Chinese alligator)
Lineage: Eukaryota; Metazoa; Chordata; Crocodylia; Alligatoridae
Exons: 4
Source: RefSeq, a predicted model, not a curated record